RNAcentral lists this unclassified non-coding RNA (305 nucleotides) under Nosema granulosis. RNAcentral's name for it is "intergenic spacer". The record is from RNAcentral. Lineage: Eukaryota; Fungi; Microsporidia; Nosematidae.
ACAAAAAGUGAUAAGAUUAUUAUAAUGAAAGUGUAUACUAACAUUAUAAUAGUUUUAUUCAUGUUCUAUAAACAAAUACCUUCACGUGGUAUAGAAUGAACAAUGUAUUGGAAUAGUACAUUGACUAAGAUUUGUAUAAAAAUUGAAAGUUUCAACAUAUUUUUUUUUGUGUUUGAAUGUAUAGGGAAUUAUAUUAAAAUAAUAUAAAAAAACAUGAUGUAAAACUUUUGUGGUAAAUAUUUUUAGUUAGAAAUUUUGUUUUAGAUGUAUAAUAUAAAAUUAUAUAACUAAUAAACUCUUCAUAU